AUGGUGCGGACGAAGGACGAAGUUGAGUUGGGAGCGGUGCUGGCGGAGGAUGCUGUCGAGCGGAGGAGGUGGCGCUGGGUACUUGUGGAGGGUGAGGUCAGUAGUACACGAAAGAUUUCCCUGGACGUCGGCCCUGCGGAGGAUGCAGUUGAGCUAGGGAGGUGGCAUAGGCAGAGGCGCGAGGUCGAGUUGGGAGCGACACCCGACGGAGGUCACUGUGGAGCCAAGGAGGUGGUGCGGGCAAAGAAUGUGGAUGAGUUAGGGUGGCGCCAAUUUGUGGGCCACUAGUCCAAAGUAA
Molecule: long non-coding RNA, 298 nt
Filed under: Oryza sativa Indica Group (long-grained rice)
Lineage: Eukaryota; Viridiplantae; Streptophyta; Magnoliopsida; Poales; Poaceae
Description: lncRNA OsMH63_10G005090
Source: RNAcentral